CUUUCUCUCUUGUAACAUGUGAACCAACUCUACCAUGUGUUGUGGUGAUGAUGGACAGAAAACUGGGCUGGGCUAUGCCUCUUAUACAGACACCAGCAUUGCCUUUUAGAAAGGCAUAUGAGGUCAGCAGGACAUGUUGAGCCAAGCCAGCCCUCAAGUAUGUAAGGAAACUUGCCACUGACCUUUGGGUCCCUGAGAUCCUGAUUCCAUGAAUGUAUGGAGCAAGGCAAACAAGCUGGAUGCUUGCCUUAGGCCAAAAGGAUGUAUAGAUGGUAAUGGGACUCUACAGAAGGAAAAUGACUACUGGGGAAAGACAAUUGCAUUAGCUUUAGCUGUAAGGUGCUCACCUUUUCUACCAUACUACCACACAUAUGUAGUUGAACAUCUUGAAGACCUAGUUUAG
This 403-nucleotide long non-coding RNA is filed under the name Anas platyrhynchos platyrhynchos (common mallard). RNAcentral describes it as "lncRNA (ENSAPLG00000027447.1)". Lineage: Eukaryota; Metazoa; Chordata; Aves; Anseriformes; Anatidae. The record is from RNAcentral.